Molecule: ribosomal RNA, 189 nt
Filed under: uncultured bacterium
Lineage: Bacteria
Description: partial 16S ribosomal RNA
Rfam family: Bacterial small subunit ribosomal RNA
Source: RNAcentral
UCGCCUGCAUGAAGCUGGAAUUGCUAGUAAUCGCGGAUCAGCAAGCCGCGGUGAAUACGUUCCCGGGCCUUGUACACACCGCCCGUCACACCAUGAGAGUCGGGAACACCCGAAGUCCGUAGUCUAACCGCAAGGGGGGCGCGGCCGAAGGUGGGUCCGGUAAUUGGGGUGAAGUCGUAACAAGGUAUC